UACGUAGGGUCCAAGCGUUGUUCGGAUUUACUGGGCGUAAAGGGUGCGUAGGCGGCGCGGUAAGUCACUUGUGAAAUCUCUGAGCUUAACUCAGAACGGCCAAGUGAUACUGCAGUGCUAGAGUGUGGAAGGGGCAAUCGGAAUUCUUGGUGUAGCGGUGAAAUGCGUAGAUAUCAAGAGGAACACCUGAGGUGAAGACGGGUUGCUGGGCCAACACUGACGCUGAGGCGCGAAAGCCAGGGGAGCAAACGGG
This 253-nucleotide ribosomal RNA is filed under the name uncultured bacterium. RNAcentral's name for it is "partial 16S ribosomal RNA". It matches the Rfam family "Bacterial small subunit ribosomal RNA", at positions 524 to 776 of the family's 1533-position model. The record is from RNAcentral.